AGGUCUGAUGCAAAAGAUGGAUAAAAUCUCCUCGGGUGCCUUUGCGGGCUCCUAAUUGCACCGUUCGCCUCCUGGUGAGUAAGGCAAAUGGGAGCAAGGGAGCCCGCAGAAUGAAGAGCACCUUCUGCAGACCUACAGGCUGGAGGACAACGACGUGAAGACCCUGCAGAGCCUCUGGUUUCAUGCCUGGUGAUUUUUACCGUGCCGAAAAGGGAGGAAGGAGGUGACAGAACUGUGAAAAAUCGAGGCCGGGUCAUUCCUGCCAGAUGAGGACAGAGUCCUGCAGCCAGUCAGAUGUGACGGACCGCGCCUGCUGCUGCUGCUACCGGGAAGCUGGAGAGAAAUGCGACUGAACGGUAGCAGUGCGCAUGUGCCUCUGGAGAAAGGAGGCUAUCUGGCUGUCUUCGCACUGAGCUGUCACUGCAGCAGCAGCUAUGUGAGAUGGAGGACAGGUCCUCGGAUUUGCUUCGAGUCUGUGAAAUUGGAGCAAGCAAUCCAUAUUUUAUGCCAGAGGAUGUGUUUAUGCUCUACUCUAACAGCUCUUGAAAGCAGGUAUUUGCUACGGAGAUGCUGGAGCCAUCUGAACCAUCACAGCAGCAACGUUUCAGAUAAUGGGUAUUGGGUAAGUUUGUUCUUGGUGUCUGAAGUGAGCCAAAGUAGCAAAAAAAAAAAAAGCCCCUCCUGUAUUUUUUUCCUGAUUUUUUUUUUUUUGUCGUUGUAUUACAGCAGUACUGUUUUGCCUGUACAGUGUGUUUACUGCGGGCCUGGUGAGGGAUACUUACAGAGCCCCUCUCGUCCGCUAGCUAGCCAGAAACAACAGAAAAGCCUGCUACAGGAUUGCUGUGGCUGUAAUUUGCAGUGUGCUACACGGUGCCCUGCAUUCACCACCCAUCUAGGUAUUAAACAAGUCCCCAUGCCUCCAGGGGUAAAAUGUUUUCCAGUGACACGUGAGUGCUUUGCUUGGCAGCCUGGUCUGGCACGUCACAGUUCUGAUGGGCUUCUCCCAGGCUUUGCAGCAUGGAGCUAA
Molecule: long non-coding RNA, 1027 nt
Filed under: Anas platyrhynchos platyrhynchos (common mallard)
Lineage: Eukaryota; Metazoa; Chordata; Aves; Anseriformes; Anatidae
Description: lncRNA (ENSAPLG00000023308.1)
Source: RNAcentral